UGGCGAACGGGUGAGUAAUACAUCGGAACGUGUCCUGUAGUGGGGGAUAGCCCGGCGAAAGCCGGAUUAAUACCGCAUACGACCUAAGGGAGAAAGCGGGGGAUCUUCGGACCUCGCGCUAUAGGGGCGGCCGAUGGCAGAUUAGCUAGUUGGUGGGGUAAAGGCCUACCAAGGCGACGAUCUGUAGCUGGUCUGAGAGGACGACCAGCCACACUGGGACUGAGACGCGGCCCAGACUCCUACGGGAGGCAGCAGUGGGGAAUUUUGGACAAUGGGGGCAACCCUGAUCCAGCAAUGCCGCGUGUGUGAAGAAGGCCUUCGGGUUGUAAAGCACUUUUGUCCGGAAAGAAAACUUCGAGGCUAAUAUCCUUGGAGGAUGACGGUACCGGAAGAAUAAGCACCGGCUAACUACGUGCCAGCAGCCGCGGUAAUACGUAGGGUGCGAGCGUUAAUCGGAAUUACUGGGCGUAAAGCGUGCGCAGGCGGUCUGUUAAGACCGAUGUGAAAUCCCCGGGCUUAACCUGGGACUGCAUUGGUGACUGGCAGGCUUUGAGUGUGGCAGAGGGGGGUAGAAUUCCACGUGUAGCAGUGAAAUGCGUAGAGAUGUGGAGGAAUACCGAUGGCGAAGGCAGCCCCCUGGGCCGACACUGACGCUCAUGCACGAAAGCGUGGGGAGCAAACAGGAUUAGAUACCCUGGUAGUCCACGCUCUAAACGAUGUCAACUAGUUGUUGGGGAUUCGUUUCCUUAGUAACGUAGCUAACGCGUGAAGUUGACCGCCUGGGGAGUACGGUCGCAAGAUUAAAACUCAAAGGAAUUGACGGGGACCCGCACAAGCGGUGGAUGAUGUGGAUUAAUUCGAUGCAACGCGAAAAACCUUACCUACCCUUGACAUGGUCGGAACCCUGCUGAAAGGUGGGGGUGCUCGAAAGAGAACCGGCGCACAGGUGCUGCAUGGCUGUCGUCAGCUCGUGUCGUGAGAUGUUGGGUUAAGUCCCGCAACGAGCGCAACCCUUGUCCUUAGUUGCUACGCAAGAGCACUCUAAGGAGACUGCCGGUGACAAACCGGAGGAAGGUGGGGAUGACGUCAAGUCCUCAUGGCCCUUAUGGGUAGGGCUUCACA
Molecule: ribosomal RNA, 1122 nt
Filed under: Burkholderia sp. OL717A
Lineage: Bacteria; Pseudomonadati; Pseudomonadota; Betaproteobacteria; Burkholderiales; Burkholderiaceae
Also listed under: 3 other names
Description: bacterial SSU rRNA
Rfam family: Bacterial small subunit ribosomal RNA
Source: RNAcentral